RNAcentral lists this ribosomal RNA (602 nucleotides) under uncultured bacterium. RNAcentral's name for it is "bacterial SSU rRNA". It matches the Rfam family "Bacterial small subunit ribosomal RNA", at positions 62 to 690 of the family's 1533-position model. The record is from RNAcentral.
CCGGAGGGAAGAUAUAUAAAUCUAUUUGGCGGACGGGUGAGUAACGCGUGGGCAACCUGCCCUGUACCGGGGGACAACAGCCAGAAAUGGCUGCUAAUACCGCAUAAGCCCCGUGUGCCGCAUGGCACACGGGGGAAAACUCCGGUGGUACAGGAUGGGCCCGCGUCUGAUUAGCUUGUUGGCGGGGUAACGGCCCACCAAGGCAGCGAUCAGUAGCCGGCUUGAGAGAGCGGACGGCCACAUUGGGACUGAGACACGGCCCAGACUCCUGCGGGAGGCAGCAGUGGGGAAUAUUGCACAAUGGGGGGAACCCUGAUGCAGCAAUGCCGCGUGGGUGAAGAAGUACCCCGGUACGUAAAGCCCUAUCAGCAGGGAAGAAAAUGACGGUACCUGGCUAAGAAGCCCCGGCUAACUACGUGCCAGCAGCCGCGGUAAUACGUAGGGGGCGAGCGUUAUCCGGAUUUACUGGGUGUAAAGGGAGCGCAGGCGGCGUGGCAAGUCAGAUGUGAAAACCCGGGGCCCAACCCCGGGACUGCAUUUGAAACUGCCAUGCUGGAGUGCCGGAGAGGCAAGUGGAAUUCCUAGUGUAGCGGUGAAAUGCG